This 497-nucleotide ribosomal RNA is filed under the name uncultured bacterium. RNAcentral describes it as "partial 16S ribosomal RNA". It matches the Rfam family "Bacterial small subunit ribosomal RNA", at positions 28 to 507 of the family's 1533-position model. The record is from RNAcentral.
GAUGAACGCUGGCGGCGUGCCUAAUACAUGCAAGUCGAGCGAACAGACGAGGGGCUUGCUCCUUCGACGUUAGCGGCGGACGGGUGAGUAACACGUAUGUAACCUACCUCUAAGACUGAUAUAACUUCGGGACACCGGAGCUAAUACCGGAUAAUAUUUCGAACCGCAUGGUUCUAUAGUGAAAUAUGGCUUUGCUAUCACUUAUAGAUUGUCCUGCGCGGUAUUGGCUAGUUGGUAAGGUAACGGCUUACCAAGGCAACGAUUCGUAGCGGAACUGAGAGGGUGAUAGGCGACACUGGAACUGAGACACGGUCCAGAGUCCUAAGGGAGGGAGCAGUAGGGAAUCUUCCGCAAUGGGCGAAAGCCUGACGGAGCAAGGCCGAGUGAGUGAUGAAGGUCUUCGGUUCGUAAAACUCUGUUAUUAGGGAAGAACAAAUGUGUAAGUAACUGUGCACGUCUUGACGGUACCUAAUCAGAAAGCCACGGCUAACUACGUG